CAGGCACUGGGAGGGGGGGGUCAGGACACCCACCCACUGGUGUCACCCCCUGGCCCUCACGCCCCCUGUCCCCGUGUCCCCCCCCAUGUCCCCACGGGUGCAGGGGACCCCCCCCCGGGGCCGUCACCCCUGGAGCGGGGGCUCCACGCCCUGGUGGGCACCUUCUACCAGUACGCGGGGACCCCGGGGGGGGGCCGGGAGCCCGUCCUGGACCCCCCCGCCUUCCAGCGCCUGCUGCGCCGCGAGCUGGGCCACCAGCUCACCGACACGGGGCAGCCUGAGGCGGUGGCCGCCAUCUUCGCGCUGCUGGACGCCAACGGGGACCGGGUCAUCUCCUUCGACGAGUACUGGCAGCUGGUGGCCUGGCUCUGCCACGUCCUGCGCCACCGCCACUACGGGGCCGCGCCGGCCCCCCCGCCACCCCCCAUCUGUGGGGACGCCGACGGCCACCACCCGGACCCCAACCCUGCCCCAGUGUCCCCAGCCCAUGGGGAUGGGCACCAGUGACCUCCGACCAAGUGGGGACAUCCCCAGGGUGAUGGCCCUUGGUCCCCCAAGCCAUGGUGGGGUCAUGGACGUCCCCAGGGUGAGUGGUCCCUGAUCCCCCACCCUGUGAUGGGGACAGGGAUGUCCCGGGGGGCAACGGGUCCUGGUCCUUUAUUCCGUGAUGGGGACAGGGAUGGGGAUGUCCCCAGGGUGAGUGGUCCCUGGUCCCCCACCCUGUCAUGGGGACAAGGACGGUGACACCCAGAGAGACACAGGGAUGGAGGGUGCCCCAAUUCCUGGUGUUUUGACCCCAAAUACCCCUGGCAGUGGGACAAGGUGGCCGGGGUGGUUCCAGCCCCACAUUUACAGGAGAAGGGGGGAAUCGGGGCCCAUGCGGAUGUCCCUGUCCCCUCCCUGUCCCCGGGGGCACUGGUGGGAGGAGGAGAAAUGUCUUAAAAACCAGUUGAAUACGAAAAAUGUACUGGAAUUAUAAUAAAAAAGACCCAAAAAGGGACGUUGAGGUUUGA
Molecule: long non-coding RNA, 1013 nt
Filed under: Calidris pygmaea (Spoon-billed sandpiper)
Lineage: Eukaryota; Metazoa; Chordata; Aves; Charadriiformes; Scolopacidae
Description: lncRNA (ENSCPGG00000002008.1)
Source: RNAcentral